This is a long non-coding RNA of Cynocephalus volans (Philippine flying lemur), 1172 nucleotides long. RefSeq lists it as uncharacterized. NCBI's taxonomy places the organism in Eukaryota, Metazoa, Chordata, Mammalia, Dermoptera, Cynocephalidae. The record is from RefSeq and is a predicted model, not a curated record. The transcript has 2 exons.
UUCGGCUGCCAGCAGAAACACACGCGGCCGCGGCGCUGCGUCCCGCACGCUGCCGUCAACACGCCCACGCGCUGCUCGCCGCUGUCAGGCACGUCCCCUCGGCUCCUGCCGGCACAGCCACAGCCGUGCCCCGCUCCCGGGGACCUGGGCUGCCGACCCGGCACUUGCUACUGUGUGACCUCGGGCAAUUGACCUAACCUCUCUGGGCAUCGAUGCCCAUCUGUAGAAUAGGAAUAAUAAUCACCUCUAUAAGGGGAAACUGAGCCAGCUGACCAGCGUCACAUGGCUGGUAGGUGUGGACCUGAAACCACUAGAAACUGGGUGACUCCAGAAUGGAUGGUCCCCCCGCACCACCCCAUGAUUUUCCAGAUGGGGACACAGGCUCGGAGACAGGCAGAGGAAGAGACAGCAGGGUGAGGCAAGUUACUUAAAAUGAGGGCAGAGGUUGCGCUCUUUUCUGCUUCCUGACAUAAUGAGAGGCACCCGUGGGAAAAGAAGCUUAGACAUCUGACCCCAAGCCCUUUGCCGGCCGCUCUUCCUGCCUCUCUGCUGGCCCAGUUGGUCUGAAUUGUGUUGUUCCAGGUCUCAUGAGAGCUGCUGUGAGACAGACAGCAUGCAAGUGGACAAGAGGAUUUCUGCUCACACUGACUUGCACCUGACCCUUCUUGACUCCUGGGUACCCCAAGGGCAGUAAAAGGCUGCUCUGUGUGCCACAGCCAAGACUGCACCCCCAAACGAGAAGAAAGCCAGCAAGGCCCAGCCUUGCACUAGGCCAGACUUUGUGUCACAUUUUAUCUCUGCUGAUAGCCCAAAGCCACCUGCAGCAAUGUCACCUGGCAGGUGGAGAUAGGCUGCCUGGGGUCAGUCCUGCCAUCAUCAUUGUCCUUUCCAGCUCUGCUUUCACCUGCACCAAGUGGACAUACUCAGGCACCUGAGGAGCGGCUGCCAUUUGUCCGGGUCACUUGCUGACACUCAUGGCGUCUUGACUGGAUGCUGAGGACGAAGCAUCCGGCUCUGCUUCAGAGCACCAAGCUGCAGACCCACAAGCAGCUCCUCUAGCACAAGGGCAGAAUCAGAGAAGAGGUCCAGGGCAAUCUUUCAGAAAGGUUUUGUAUGUAUAAAUGUCUGUAUCCUACCCCUGGGGGGGUAAUUAGAUUGAUAUAUACUCUGUU